Molecule: ribosomal RNA, 465 nt
Filed under: Nitrosospira sp. YKU2
Lineage: Bacteria; Pseudomonadati; Pseudomonadota; Betaproteobacteria; Nitrosomonadales; Nitrosomonadaceae
Description: bacterial SSU rRNA
Rfam family: Bacterial small subunit ribosomal RNA
Source: RNAcentral
GGAGGAAAGCAGGGGAUCGCAAGACCUCGCGCUAUUAGAGUGGCCGAUGUCCGAUUAGCUAGUUGGUGGGGUAAAGGCCCACCAAGGCGACGAUCGGUAGCUGGUCUGAGAGGAUGAUCAGCCACACUGGGACUGAGACACGGCCCAGACUCCUACGGGAGGCAGCAGUGGGGAAUUUUGGACAAUGGGCGCAAGCCUGAUCCAGCCAUGCCGCGUGAGUGAAGAAGGCCUUCGGGUUGUAAAGCUCUUUCGGCCGGAACGAAAUCGUCCGGGCUAAUACCUCGGAUGGAUGACGGUACUGGAAGAAGAAGCACCGGCUAACUACGUGCCAGCAGCCGCGGUAAUACGUAGGGUGCAGGCGUUAAUCGGAAUUACUGGGCGUAAAGCGUGCGCAGGCGGCUUCCUAAGUCAGAUGUGAAAUCCCCGGGCUUAACCUGGGAACUGCGUUUGAAACUACAAAGCUAG